CCUACGGGAGGCUGCAGUGGGGAAUAUUGCACAAUGGGGGAAACCCUGAUGCAGCGACGCCGCGUGAGUGAAGAAGUAAUUCGUUACGUAAAGCUCUAUCAGCAGGGAAGAAAUACUGACCUUACGGUCAGCAGACGGUACCUGAGUAAGAAGCCCCGGCUAACUACGUGCCAGCAGCCGCGGUAAUACGUAGGGGGCAAGCGUUAUCCGGAUUUACUGGGUGUAAAGGGAGCGUAGACGGUGUGACAAGUCUGGAGUGAAAUGCCGCAGCUUAACUUCGGUACUGCUUUGGAAACUGGCGAACUAGAGUGGGGGAGAGGUAAGCGGAAUUCGUGGUGUAGCGGUGAAAGGCGUAGAUAUUAGGAGGAACACCGGUGGCGAAGGCGGCUUACUGGACCGUAACUGACGUUGAGGCUCGAAAGCGUGGGGAGCGAACAGGAUUAGAUACCCCUGUAGUC
This 458-nucleotide ribosomal RNA is filed under the name uncultured bacterium. RNAcentral describes it as "partial 16S ribosomal RNA". It matches the Rfam family "Bacterial small subunit ribosomal RNA", at positions 338 to 795 of the family's 1533-position model. The record is from RNAcentral.